Callithrix jacchus (white-tufted-ear marmoset) is the source of this 2391-nucleotide non-coding RNA. Lineage: Eukaryota; Metazoa; Chordata; Mammalia; Primates; Cebidae. The record is from RefSeq and is a predicted model, not a curated record.
UCGUGUUCUCUGGGAAGGUGUACUUGCAACGUAUGUGGAUCCUGGAUUUCUUCUUCUAGAUGAGCUCUAGCUGAGAGGAGAUGGCUUCUUUAGUUCCAGUGGUGGCUCGUACCUUAAUAAGUUGUGUUUAAUGAGUAAUAACCUAAGUCAAAGGUGCUCUAUCUACAGUGGGCCCAGAAGUGAUGCCAUUAGAAUGUGAAGUCCUCCAAGAAGAUGCUGUAGGAAUGGCCUUUAUCCCAGGGCCUGGAGAGCAGCCAGACACAAGGAGAGUGGCCCAGGAGGGCAGUGGCAGUCAGCUCUAUGCUGUGGCCUGUCAGCCUCGGAGCCAGAAGUUAAACACAGGCUCUCCCAUUGACAGUCAUAAUGAAAUAAGAAAAAGAAGACGGGGAAGAGGAAGUAGAAAACCACGGCAUAAAUUUACCAAGAGUAAGCUGAGUGUGUACUUCAGCAGUCGUUUGCACAGAAUCCUUAUCCUGAUUUAACAAACAGGGAAAACGGGACAAGUCUCUUGUGCUGUGUUUGUAAUAGAUAUAAGUAAAAUAUUCAAAGCUUUGCAUAUCUUUUUAUAGAUAAUAUGAAAAUAUAAAGAAGUAUGAAAAAGCUUAGCAUUUUAUCACAUAGGACAAAGUGAUUUUUUUUUUUUUAUAGAGACAGCGUUCCACCAUGUUGGUCAGGCUAGUCUCAAACUCUUGACCUCAGGUGAUCCACCCAUCUUGGCCUCCUAAAGUACUGGGAUUACAAGCAUGAGCCACCACACCUGGCCUAUGAUUUCUUUUAGGCUGGGUGUAGUGGCUCAUGCCUGUAAUCUCAGCACUUUGGGAGGUUGAGGUGGGAAGAUCACUUGAGGCCAGGAGUUCAAGACCAGCCUGACCAACAUGGCAAAACCCUGUCUCUAACAAAACUGCAAAAAUUAGCCAGGCAGUUUUUCUGGCACAUUCCUGUAAUCCCAGUGACUCAAGAGGCUGAGGCAGGAGAAUCGCUUGAUCCUUGGAGGCGGAGAUUGCAGUGUGCCAAGAUGGCACCACUGCACUCCAGCCUGAGUGACAGUGUGAGAAUCUCAAAAAAGGGGAAUUUUUUUGGUGGUUGUUCAUUUCAAUGUAAGCAUGAAUAUAUUAUGUAUGCAUUUUAUGGAAAAAUACACUAUUCUGAGGCAAAAUUGGGAGCAGCAGUCCAGUUAAGAAGGUACUGUAGGCUGGCUGCAGUGGCUCAUGCCUACAAUCCCAGCACCUUGGCAGGCCAAGGCCAGCAGAUCACCUGAGGUCAAGAGUUCAAGACCAGCCUGGCCAACAUGGUAAAACACUGUCUCUACCAAAAAUACAAAAAUUAGCCAGGUUUGGUGGCAUGCCUCUGUAAUCCCAGCUACUCAGGAGGCUGAGGUAGGAGAAUUGCUUGUACUUGGGAGGUGGAGGUUACAGUGAGCCAGCAUAGCACCACUGCACUCCAGCCUGGACAACAAAGCGAUAGUCUAUUUCAAAAAAAAGAAAGAAAAGAAGCUAAUAUUGUUAUUCUCCAGGAUAGAGACAGUGAUGGUUUUGACCAGGGUGCUAGCUGUGGAACUGGGAAGACCUUUAAUUUUUAAAGGUGGAGCUGCUUAUAGUUUGCCAAGAUAUUGGGUACACAAUGAGAAGGCCAGAGGUAAGGAUACUUCCAAAGUUUUGGCUUGAGGAAAUGGAAGAUUGGGGAUGUUUUUAACUAAUAGGGGAGAUUGGGAGAAGAGUAGUUUUGUGUUAGACAUUUGGAGUUUUAUUUACUUUGGACACAUUAAGUUUGGUAUGCUAAUCAAACCUUUGUGGUGUUUACUUACUCCAAAGUGUAAGUAAAAAGUGAGGCAUGCAAGUCUGAAGGGCAAAAGGAAGAACGUGGCUUGACAGUGUCACAGGGCUUGGCACAGAACCCCACAGUGUCAGUAGUUGCUUCCUAACCAUUUAUUGCAUGAACCAAUAUUUUGUUUGGGGAUUUUCUGAUAUGAUUGUUGUAAACUGUUAAAGCACAACCUUUUACUGUAUUUGAAUUUAUAUUAUUUAUACACACAUUUUUUUCUCUAAUCCCCUGACAGAUUAUAUACACACAUUUAAGAAGACUUUCAUGUUUCUCUUCUGUAAUUAUUCACUUACUAUUACGUGUAUUGGUUGCUUGACAGAAGGACAACAUUGUGUUAGUGAAAACCAAGAAAGAAUAUAUACAGCUUUGGAAAAAGAAGUGUAGGCAAACAUUAUGUAAUAAAAUUCUUUUUUUUUAAAAAGUAGGUUGGUAUUAUAAACAUUUAUUAAAAUAAUGCUAUGGGUUAAUAGAAACAGCAAGGAACCAAAGAAUUAAAAUGUAAGCUUUGUAAAAUCCCAACUAAAACCCAAAAGUGUCUAAUGUAUUCAUUCAUUAGCUAACUAAAAGCCC